AUUGAACGCUGGCGGCAGGCCUAACACAUGCAAGUCGAGCGGAUGAAGGGAGCUUGCUCCUGGAUUCAGCGGCGGACGGGUGAGUAAUGCCUAGGAAUCUGCCUGGUAGUGGGGGAUAACGUCCGGAAACGGGCGCUAAUACCGCAUACGUCCUGAGGGAGAAAGUGGGGGAUCUUCGGACCUCACGCCAUCAGAUGAGCCUAGGUCGGAUUAGCUAGUUGGUGGGGUAAAGGCCUACCAAGGCGACGAUCCGUAACUGGUCUGAGAGGAUGAUCAGUCACACUGGAACUGAGACACGGUCCAGACUCCUACGGGAGGCAGCAGUGGGGAAUAUUGGACAAUGGGCGAAAGCCUGAUCCAGCCAUGCCGCGUGUGUGAAGAAGGUCUUCGGGUUGUAAAGCACUUUAAGUUGGGAGGAAGGGCAGUAAGUUAAUACCUUGCUGUUUUGACGUUACCAACAGAAUAAGCACCGGCUAACUUCGUG
This 484-nucleotide ribosomal RNA is filed under the name uncultured bacterium. RNAcentral's name for it is "partial 16S ribosomal RNA". It matches the Rfam family "Bacterial small subunit ribosomal RNA", at positions 30 to 507 of the family's 1533-position model. The record is from RNAcentral.